AAACUAUAAAUCCAACAUCACUGAAGAUUAAAAAUAGUUUACUGCAAGUGAAUAACUGCAUACAGGAAUGCUUUUGGGAACUUCACUAUUGUGUUCCUCAUCUUCAAACAUUUCAUAAAAGUCCUUUUUCACAACAAAUCUUCCAGUAACCGAGUCAACGCCAUUUUCAAACGAAUCUUCAACUCGCGGCAGACCCAGAACAAACAAGACCCCUUAUACAAACAAACCAAACCCGAAAACACUACUAAUCCAACGAGUUAAUUAAAUCAUCAAUCACCAACAUUUGCUUUUAUGUUUAGUGGGUUCGGCUGUCGAUCGAAUGAGUAGUUUUAGUUUGAUAUAGGUGUUUGGUAGUUGUAUGUUAUUGAUGUAGUUAUGCUAAUGAUGAUGUGGAAGUGCUGAUGGUUAUGAAAUCAUCUAAACAACCCAUAUGUUUUCAGUUUUUAGCUAAAUGUUACUUGUUCUGGUUUAAUUAAUAUGCUGGUGUUUAAUUAAAUGGUUCGUCUUUAAUAAAUUGCAGUGUUGAUGUUUUGUUGAAUCCCUCUUUCUGUAGGACCAUAGUUGGCAAAAUCUGCAGCACUAGUUAAACAAAUUCUAGGUGUUCGCAUGACUUGAAAAUUAGAUUGAGGUUCUACUGGUUGCACUUCAGACACAAGCACCCUAGAUGGCCUUCUAGGCACUAGUAUGGCCUAUAAAAAGGUGAAAAGAAAUCAGUUAUAAUGUCUAAAAAUUAAAUGCCGACCAAAUUUACUAAUUGUAGGAUAUUGUGAUAGAUUUGAUUACCUUUGUGGUUUCAUUCCCAAAGGGAGUUGAACUUUUUGUUUUUAUUUUUUGGAUAUAUAUCCUCUUAAGACCAUUCCUAUAACGAACAUAUCAACGUCAUACAUUAAACCCAUAAUGAGAUAUGACAUUUUCUUCUUCCUAUCUUCGUCUCUUCUUUUAUUUUCUUCUCCUUUUAGGAACAUAUCAAUCUG
This 974-nucleotide long non-coding RNA is filed under the name Olea europaea subsp. europaea. Lineage: Eukaryota; Viridiplantae; Streptophyta; Magnoliopsida; Lamiales; Oleaceae. The record is from RNAcentral.